RNAcentral lists this ribosomal RNA (292 nucleotides) under uncultured bacterium. RNAcentral describes it as "partial 16S ribosomal RNA". It matches the Rfam family "Bacterial small subunit ribosomal RNA", at positions 505 to 796 of the family's 1533-position model. The record is from RNAcentral.
GUGCCAGCCGCCGCGGUAAUACGUAGGUGGCAAGCGUUGUCCGGAAUCAUUGGGCGUAAAGCGCGCGUAGGCGGCUUGUCAGGUCUGAUGUGAAAUCUUGAGGCUCAACCUUAAGCGUGCAUCGGAAACCGGCUUGCUAGAGUCUGGGAGAGGAGAGUGGAAUUCCUGGUGUAGCGGUGAAAUGCGUAGAUAUCAGGAGGAACACCGGUUGCGAAGGCGGCUCUCUGGAACAGUACUGACGCUGAGGCGCGAAAGCUAGGGGAGCGAACAGGAUUAGAAACCCUAGUAGUCC